UACGUAGGGUGCGAGCGUUGUCCGGAAUUAUUGGGCGUAAAGAGCUCGUAGGCGGUUUGUCGCGUCGGGAGUGAAAACACACAGCUUAACUGUGUGCUUGCUUCCGAUACGGGCAGACUAGAGGUAUGCAGGGGAGAACGGAAUUCCUGGUGUAGCGGUGAAAUGCGCAGAUAUCAGGAGGAACACCGGUGGCGAAGGCGGUUCUCUGGGCAUUACCUGACGCUGAGGAGCGAAAGUGUGGGGAGCGAACAGG
RNAcentral lists this ribosomal RNA (253 nucleotides) under uncultured bacterium. RNAcentral describes it as "partial 16S ribosomal RNA". It matches the Rfam family "Bacterial small subunit ribosomal RNA", at positions 524 to 776 of the family's 1533-position model. The record is from RNAcentral.